ACGUUUCUUCUUCUUCUUCUCUCUCGCAA
RNAcentral lists this small RNA (29 nucleotides) under Arabidopsis thaliana (thale cress). RNAcentral's name for it is "ATSL177270". The record is from RNAcentral. Lineage: Eukaryota; Viridiplantae; Streptophyta; Magnoliopsida; Brassicales; Brassicaceae.